CUGCUGCCUUCCGUAGGAGUCUGGGCCGUGUCUCAGUCCCAGUGUGGCCGUCCACCCUCUCAGGCCGGCUGCUGAUCGUCGCUUUUGGUGGGCCGUUACCCCGCCAACUGGCUAAUCAGACGCGGGCCCAUCCUGUACCACCGGAGUUUUCAAAGGAUUACCAUGCGGUAUUCCCUAUUAUGCGGUAUUAGCACCUAUUUCUAAGUGUUAUCCCCCGGUACUACGGGCAGGUUAGUCCCACGCGUUACUCACCCGUCCGCCACUAA
This 266-nucleotide ribosomal RNA is filed under the name uncultured bacterium. RNAcentral describes it as "partial 16S ribosomal RNA". The record is from RNAcentral.